GGAGUUAGCCGGUGCUUCUUCUGUGAGUGAUGUCCUUCCUGCCGGCUAUUAACCCGCAGGCCUUCUUCCUCACUGAAAGUGCUUUACAACCCGAAGGCCUUCUUCACACACGCGGCAUGGCUGGAUCAGGGUUGCCCCCCAUUGUCCAAUAUUCCCCACUGCUGCCUCCCGUAGGAGUCUGGGCCGUGUCUCAGUCCCAGUGUGGCUGAUCAUCCUCUCAGACCAGCUACGGAUCGUCGCCUUGGUGAGCCGUUACCUCACCAACCAGCUAAUCCGACAUAGGCUCAUCCGAUAGCGCGAGGCCCGAAGGUCCCCCGCUUUCCCCCGUAGGGCGUAUGCGGUAUUAGCCUGGGUUUCCCCAGGUUAUCCCCCACUACCGGGCAGAUUCCUAUGCAUUACUCACCCGUCCGCCGCUCGCCACCAGGGAGCAAGCUCCCCGUGCUGCCGCUCGACUUGCAUGUGUUAGGCCUGCCGCCAGCGUUCAAUCUGAGCCAGAAUCAAACUCUGA
This 508-nucleotide ribosomal RNA is filed under the name uncultured bacterium. Its description in RNAcentral is "partial 16S ribosomal RNA". The record is from RNAcentral.